This 484-nucleotide ribosomal RNA is filed under the name uncultured bacterium. RNAcentral describes it as "bacterial SSU rRNA". It matches the Rfam family "Bacterial small subunit ribosomal RNA", at positions 36 to 518 of the family's 1533-position model. The record is from RNAcentral.
CUGGCGGCGUGCCUAACACAUGCAAGUCGAACGAAGCACUCCGAAUUGAGAUCGUCAAGAUUGGAUUGACUUAGUGGCGGACGGGUGAGUAAUACAUGAGCAACCUGCCCCGGAGUGGGGGACGAACAGUUGGAAACGACUGCUAAUACCGCAUAAUGUAUCCGAAAGGCAUCUUUUGGAUACCAAAGAUUUAUCGCUCUGGGAUGGGCUCAUGUCUGAUUAGCUAGUUGGUGGGGUAACGGCUCACCAAGGCUGCGAUCAGUAGCCGGACUGAGAGGUUGAACGGCCACAUUGGGACUGAGAUACGGCCCAGACUCCUACGGGAGGCAGCAGUGGGGAAUAUUGGGCAAUGGGCGAAAGCCUGAACCCCCAGCAACGCCGCGUGAAGGAAGAAGGCCUUCGGGUUGUAAACUUCUUUUAUGAGGGACGAACAAAUGACGGUACCUCAUGAAUAAGCCACGGCUAACUACGUGCCAGCAGCAGC